RNAcentral lists this small nuclear RNA (36 nucleotides) under Cervus elaphus hippelaphus. The record is from RNAcentral. Lineage: Eukaryota; Metazoa; Chordata; Mammalia; Artiodactyla; Cervidae.
GUGCUCGCUUUGGCAGCACAUAUACUAAUAUUAGAA